Molecule: ribosomal RNA, 198 nt
Filed under: uncultured bacterium
Lineage: Bacteria
Description: partial 16S ribosomal RNA
Rfam family: Bacterial small subunit ribosomal RNA
Source: RNAcentral
ACGCUCGACACCUACGGAGGCAGCAGUGGGGAAUAUUGGGCAAUGGGCGCAAGCCUGACCCAGCAAUGCCGCGUGAAGGAAGAAGGCUUUCGGGUUGUAAACUUCUUUUGUCAGGGAAGAGAAGAAGACGGUACCUGACGAAUAAGCCACGGCUAACUACGUGCCACAGCCGCGGUAAUCUGAGCGGGCUGGCAAGGC